GAAUAUUGGACAAUGGGCGAAAGCCUGGUCCAGCCAUGCCGCGUGUGUGAAGAAGGUCUUCGGAUUGUAAAGCACUUUAAGUUGGGAGGAAGGGCAGUCAGCGAAUACCUUGCUGUUUUGACGUUACCGCCAGAAUACGUCCCGGCUAACUCUGUGCCCUCAUCCGCGGUAAUACAGAGGGUGCAAGCGUUAAUCGGAAUUACUGGGAGUAAAGCGCGCGUAGGUGGUUCGUUAAGUUGGAUGCGAAAUCCCCGGGCUCAACCUGGGAACUGCAUCCAAAACUGGCGAGCUAGAGUAGGGCAGAGGGUGGUGGAAUUUCCUGUGUAGCGGUGAAAUGCGUAGAUAUAGGAAGGAACACCAGUGGCGAAGGCGACCACCUGGGCUCAUACUGACACUGAGGUGCGAAAGCGUGGGGAGCAAACAG
RNAcentral lists this ribosomal RNA (424 nucleotides) under uncultured bacterium. RNAcentral describes it as "bacterial SSU rRNA". It matches the Rfam family "Bacterial small subunit ribosomal RNA", at positions 359 to 775 of the family's 1533-position model. The record is from RNAcentral.